CUUUAAAGACUAAAGCCAUAAGCUCUCUUAGUAAGCUCAGGCCCAUCUUUAUAUUUCAGUAACUAAAGGCCAACACACACUACCAACAACUAACCCCCAAGGACCAACUCAUGCUCAACAGCCAACUUCCCUGCUCUUCGCAACUCACCAACCAAUUCUCAGCAACUGACUCUCCUGUCUGCAACUAACAGCCUACAACUGACCCUGGCUCAUCAGGGGGCUCCCUGGUUCCUACUUCCUGUCACUGUGGGCUGGUUAAUCCCUACAGAUCUCUAUGGUAACUUUCUACUACCAUCCCUGCAGAAGUGAAGUGGAAGGAGGAGAGACACAGAGGACUCAGUCAUUUUGUAUUUUAAAUUUCUCAGAUAGCUAUGACCAAAAGAUUAAUCACCAAGUGUCCAGGCCACUGAUGUUAAACUUCUUUGUAUUUAGUUUGGUUGUUCUUCAGAAAGCAAACAAUUUGUUGUUAGAAUUAUACCUCCACAAAAUUCUGCUCCUAUAUCACUACCCAGAUGAUUCUGGGUUCUUAAAAUCUCUAUCAAUUGGGCAUAAGCUCUCCUUAGUUAUAUCAUGUUAAGUCCACUUACCAGAAAUUAUUUUGUGAUAUUUUCUGUGGUUAUGUCUUAUUGCCCCUUUGAACCCCCAAGUUCUAUGAUGACAGGGAUCUGAUAAAAUUUUUUUAUGUCUCUGAAUACUUAGUAUUAUGCCCUGCCCAUUGAAGGCACUUAAUAAUUAUUUGCUAUUUUGUUUUCAUAUUAUGUUGUUUUGUUAUGAUGAUUUAUUUUUA
RNAcentral lists this long non-coding RNA (787 nucleotides) under Monodelphis domestica (gray short-tailed opossum). RNAcentral's name for it is "lncRNA (ENSMODG00000051120.1)". Lineage: Eukaryota; Metazoa; Chordata; Mammalia; Didelphimorphia; Didelphidae. The record is from RNAcentral.